Molecule: transfer RNA, 72 nt
Filed under: Bos taurus (domestic cattle)
Lineage: Eukaryota; Metazoa; Chordata; Mammalia; Artiodactyla; Bovidae
Rfam family: tRNA
About the family: Transfer RNA (tRNA) molecules are approximately 80 nucleotides in length. Their secondary structure includes four short double-helical elements and three loops (D, anti-codon, and T loops).
Source: Rfam by way of RNAcentral
UCCCUGGUGGUCCAGUGGUUAGGACUUCACCUUUAAAUGCAGGGGAUACAGGUUCAAUCCCUGGUCAAGGAG